GCCCCUUUAGCCCACUGGAACCCCACUUUACCCUAUUAGCUCAUCCCCGUAGCUUCUGGUGCAGGGAGGGCGGCGCCACAGCGUACACCCACCGCCGUCGCCGAUCGAUGGCAGCCGCCGCUGCACGGCGCACCCCGCCUCUUCCGGCUUGCACGUAGCCCCUCCCCUACCUCGCAGCUUCUCCCUACUCCGCCUCACCGGUGUUCCAAUCAAGAAUUUGACGAACACCUCGACCCUGGCCGGACGCGAUGGGCAGGUCGCCGGCAGCCCCAACCCCGACCCCCAGGUCGCCGGAAGCAUCAAUCACGACCCCCGGGUCGCCGGCUGUCCCAACCCCAACACCCAAGGCGUCGGAUGCGUCAAUCCCAGCGCCCAAGGUGCCGGAUGCGUCGUCGGCAGCAGAUCUUGAGGAGCACAAGGGUACUAGUGAGCUCUUGCGUGCCAUAAAAAUUGAGAAGGCUAAUGGUCCGGAUCUUCAUUAUCUCUGAAUCAAAUUGCCCUUCUCAUGUUAUGUUGUCUACCCUUUUAUUGUUUCCUAGAGGGAUAUUUCAAUUGCAACAACUAUCAGAUUCUAUUUCUCCUCUGCCAGUUGCGAUUCCAAUGGAUCCGGGUGGCGGCAAGAACAAAGGCUCCGGUGGCGGGAAAGAAGUGCUGUGUUCUCCAUGUCACACUGUUUAUUUGAUGUCGCGCUGGGUGUUUUUGUUCCUCUUGCUACCAAGUUCAGUCUUUAAGUUUGAGCGAAAUGCAGCUUAACGAUGACUGACAUUGUAGUGGCUUGUAGUUUUAUCCCAGAUAUGUCUUGUAGUUUUAGCACAUCACAUGCUAUUCUGAUGAAUACCAUGCCUUGUAUAGGCUGUAGGUGCAGUAUAUGAGUGUGACACCUUGUAGUUGUGUUUCAUACAAUGUCUUUUGUUAAGUGGGAUACUGGGAUCCCACUUAACCCAUGUAAUGUUUGGUGGGUUACCCAAUAUUUUCCACCAAUUUGUAGUGGGAUCAGGUUGGCUGAGGUGGGAUGCCCACGGGUAGUCCCACUUGCAGCGUGAGCUAGAUACAUCCAUCGAAGGACAAUCUUGUGACAAGCUUUUUCGGAUGGAGGGAGUACUUGUUUCCAUUCAAGUCGAAAGCAAAGCUAUCAGGACAUGUGCAAUUAGCAUGGGUUAUAUGAGCAAUGUGUUUACCUGGUAUGAAC
This 1189-nucleotide ribosomal RNA is filed under the name Triticum aestivum (bread wheat). Its description in RNAcentral is "partial small subunit ribosomal RNA". Lineage: Eukaryota; Viridiplantae; Streptophyta; Magnoliopsida; Poales; Poaceae. The record is from RNAcentral.